AAAAAAUCGUUGCUGACCGAGAAACACGUUUCUCGAGGACGGAUCAAUAUUCCGACGGACACAACUUUUGAUGGGCACGGUCCUCAAUUAUUAUUAUUCUUAUUCAAGAACAAGAAACACACCGAACGUUGUGAUCGUGUUACUAAAGCCUGCACAAAAAAAAGUCUUGACUCAACCUGCCGACGGUAUCUUCUGAUAAUUGAAAGGAGUCAUCGACAAGAGCCAUAUGUGGAAAAAAGAUACGAUCUUUGGUAAAUCACUUGAGAGCUUGCCUUCUAUUUUUGGAAGAAUUUUUUGUGUAACCUUAGAAUAAAUUGCUUGCUCUCAGCUUUUUAUCACAUA
This is a long non-coding RNA of Venturia canescens, 342 nucleotides long. RefSeq lists it as uncharacterized. The record is from RefSeq and is a predicted model, not a curated record. The transcript is spliced from 2 exons. NCBI's taxonomy places the organism in Eukaryota, Metazoa, Arthropoda, Insecta, Hymenoptera, Ichneumonidae.